This 408-nucleotide ribosomal RNA is filed under the name uncultured eukaryote. RNAcentral describes it as "bacterial SSU rRNA". It matches the Rfam family "Eukaryotic small subunit ribosomal RNA", at positions 1335 to 1765 of the family's 1831-position model. The record is from RNAcentral.
ACGAGACCCCUGCCUGCUAAAUAGUUGAGCGAAUGAAUGUUCAUUGGCUGCAGCUUCUUAGAGGGACGUGCGUUCUAUUAGACGCAGGAAGAUAGGGGCAAUAACAGGUCUGUGAUGCCCUUAGAUGUCCUGGGCCGCACGCGCGCUACACUGACGGAGGCAACGAGUUUCCUGGGCUGAAAGGUUCGGGUAAUCUGUGAAACUCCGUCGUGAUGGGGAUAGACUUUUGCAAUUUUUAGUCUUCAACGAGGAAUGCCUAGUAAGCGUGAGUCAUCAGCUCGCGUUGAUUACGUCCCUGCCCUUUGUACACACCGCCCGUCGCUCCUACCGAUUGAAUGGUCCGGUGAAGCCUCGGGAUUGCGAUGAGUUUCCUUCAUUGGGAGUUUGUCGCGAGAACCUGUCUAAACC